Molecule: ribosomal RNA, 448 nt
Filed under: uncultured bacterium
Lineage: Bacteria
Description: partial 16S ribosomal RNA
Rfam family: Bacterial small subunit ribosomal RNA
Source: RNAcentral
AACCCAGACUCCUACGGGAGGCAGCAGUGGGGAAUAUUGCACAAUGGGGGAAACCCUGGUACAGCGACGCCGCGUGAGUGAAGAAGUAAUUCGUUAUGUAAAGCUCUAUCAGCAGGGAAGAAAAUGACGGUACCUGAGUAAGAAGCCCCGGCUAACUACGUGCCGGCAGCCGCGGUAAUACGUAGGGGGCAAGCGUUAUCCGGAUUUACUGGGUGUAAAGGGAGCGCAGACGGCGAUGCAAGCCAGGAGUGAAAGCCCGGGGCCCAACCCCGGGACUGCUCUUGGAACUGCGUGGCUGGAGUGCAGGAGGGGCAGGCGGAAUUCCUGGUGUAGCGGUGAAAUGCGUAGAUAUCAGGAGGAACACCGGUGGCGAAGGCGGCCUGCUGGACUGCAACUGACGUUGAGGCCCGAAAGCGUGGGGAGCAAACAGGAUUAGAUACCCCAGUAC